UGGGGAAUAUUGCACAAUGGCGCAAGCCUGAUGCAGCCAUGCCGCGUGUGUGAAGAAGGCCUUCGGGUUGUAAAGCACUUUCAGCGAGGAGGAAGGUGGUGGACUUAAUACGUUCAUCAAUUGACGUUACUCGCAGAAGAAGCACCGGCUAACUCCGUGCCAGCAGCCGCGGUAAUACGGAGGGUGCAAGCGUUAAUCGGAAUUACUGGGCGUAAAGCGCACGCAGGCGGUUUGUUAAGUCAGAUGUGAAAUCCCCGGGCUCAACCUGGGAACUGCAUUUGAAACUGGCAAGCUAGAGUCUCGUAGAGGGGGGUAGAAUUCCAGGUGUAGCGGUGAAAUGCGUAGAGAUCUGGAGGAAUACCGGUGGCGAAGGCGGCCCCCCUGGANGAAGACUGACGCUCAGGUGCGAAAGCGU
Molecule: ribosomal RNA, 415 nt
Filed under: uncultured bacterium
Lineage: Bacteria
Description: partial 16S ribosomal RNA
Rfam family: Bacterial small subunit ribosomal RNA
Source: RNAcentral